This 240-nucleotide long non-coding RNA is filed under the name Prunus dulcis (almond). Its description in RNAcentral is "sRNA ncRNA". The record is from RNAcentral. Lineage: Eukaryota; Viridiplantae; Streptophyta; Magnoliopsida; Rosales; Rosaceae.
AAUUUUUCCAAACCCAUAUUAAAUAUGGAGAUUAAUCUCAACUCAGAUUUUAAAAAACCCAAAAAUCUACAAACCCAUAUCGAAAAACCUUCGUACAUCUCCCAAUUGAUGACCACAACCCAGAUUUCGAAAGGAAAAAAAAUCCACGACAGUGGAUACCUUAUAGAAAUAGAAAUCUCGCAAGCUUAGUUGGAAAUGGUGGGUCAUCUUUUCAUCUCGAUAGAGUGGGUCUUCUCUUAG